AACGCACAUUGCACUUUCUGGUAUUCCGGAAAGUAUGUCUGUUUGAGUAUCAUCCUAAUUCUCUUAGCUAACAUUAGUUUGUUAUAUUAAGGAUAUGAGUUUUCCGGGUAUUUUUAAUACCUGGUAACUUUAAAUAUAGCUUUAGGCGGACUGGUUAUAACCGCAGUGUUUUUAUUACUUGGGUGAUUUAUUUCAUUCAUUAUUUAAGCAUUGCUACUAGUUCCCAAAGAACUCAGGAUAUACUAGGAGUGGGUAUUUAUACUCUACUACCUAACUUUUUGAUCUCAAAUCAGAUAGGACUACCCGCUGAACUUAA
Molecule: unclassified non-coding RNA, 316 nt
Filed under: uncultured fungus
Lineage: Eukaryota; Fungi
Description: sequence contains ITS2
Source: RNAcentral